This is a long non-coding RNA of Mirounga angustirostris (Northern elephant seal), 2362 nucleotides long. RefSeq lists it as uncharacterized. Lineage: Eukaryota; Metazoa; Chordata; Mammalia; Carnivora; Phocidae. The record is from RefSeq and is a predicted model, not a curated record. The transcript has 4 exons.
AGCCGGAGGAGCGUGAGGAGCUAGCCGCCGGGGAUUACCGACCGUAUUCCGACCUGAGGUUGGCUGGGUCCGGCCGCCGCGGAGGAGGCUCCGCGCGGAGAGGCGGUGUCCCGCCCGCAGGCUCCGGGUCUCUCGGAGCUGGUCCUCCACGCCGGCUUCCUGCCGCUCUGUUUUCUGAGGUUUUCCCCAGAAGCGCGGCGCAGGUCGUUGACCGCCAGGCAAGGACUUGGCCCCUGGGGGGCAGGGUGACGUGCAUUUGAAACACUGCAGCUCGGACGGAGCAAAUGCUUCACCCAGAACUUCCAAAGGCCUGAUUUCCCAGAGGAGUUUGCCUGGAGGAGGGCGGGGAUGACCCCGAGUUGUGGGCCAGGAGGUGAGGAAUUCAGAAAGGGCUCAGCUGGAUGGUUUGUCUUUCCUUCUCUGCCAAGCCGGCUUCAUCACUCACAUGACAAGGCCUUAGCACUUCUUGACCUCUCUCUGCAAAUGAUGUCAUAUCCUCCAGGGCUCCCCCACAUGGUUUGGGCUUCUCACAACAGGUCAUUGCAGUUCAGAUGAGGAAACUGAGGAGCUGAGAGGUCAGGCAACUUGUCAGAGGUCAUGCGGCAGAAGGUCUGUGCCACCAAUCAAAUCCAUCACCAGUCCCGUUGAAGAACUCAGAUAUAUGAAAAUGCUGAAAACCUCCAGAGUCCCUCUGGGCCUCCAGAAACAGGUUGGAAGGACUUCUGAUUUCCAGUUGGCACACGGUCACCAGGAAGAAUGACCAAGAAACUGAAAGAUCAUCCUUGCAGCUAGGUGUGGCCAUUUGAUUAAAAUCUGGCCAAUGAGAGGUCGGCAGAAGUGCAACCUCCAGGAAGUGUCUCUGAAGGGAAGGUGUGUGUCCUUAUGACCGCAUCUCCCUUCCCAGCAGUUAGAGUACAAGUGAUGCGACAGGAGCUGAGUUGCUUGGAAAUCAUGAAGUAGGAGUCAAGUGAUAAGAUGGCAGAACAGUAAGAGAGGAGGAGGUCCUAAGUGACCUUGGAGCUGCUGUAAUAGGGAUGGACUCUACUGCUGGACUUGACUCACAUGAGAGAAAACUAGUGUCACUGUUAUCUUGGCCUAACUCCCCUGGGGCCUAGAUUUUGGCCUCUGAUGAACUCUCCUGACACCAUGGCCUCUUGUCAGUCACACUCAAAUCUAAUCCUACAACAUCUAAGAUAAACUUUGCCAUACUUGCGACUUCAAUCACCCACUGUCUAGAUGACCAUGAUCUUCAGAUUUGCUCCAGCUCAGUUCUGGUAGUUCACUGGACCUCUCACACAGUUGCCAUCCUCUCCCCAACCUGUCUUUCCCCCCAGGGCUCCCCAUCUCAGGAAAGGGUGCCUCCAUAGCCCAACACCCUGUAAGUCAUCGAUUUCCCUCCCUCCCACUCCAGCCUUCCACAUCCACGAGACCCCAAACCCCCCAUUCUACCUCCUAGAAAGAUUCUACUCCUCUACUCUACUUCCCGUGGCACGGUCCCAGCUCAAGCCCUGACCCCUCUACACCUUGUCCAUUGCCACCUCCUAAUUGGUCUCCCUGCCUCCAGUCUCCACCCCACAGCCUUUGUCUGCCCUCUUUAAAACCCACCCAUGACUCCCCUUGGUCUCUAGGACAAAGUCCAAGCUUUCCGAGUGAACAUCACAACCUUCUGCCUUCUGCACCGCCCCCAUCUCCCAGGCCUCCACCCCUCCCUCAGCACCUCCUCCUACAGGAUACUACACAAAGAAUUUGCUUUAGCAAAGGCUAUUUUCCUUCUGUCCACCUGCUAUUCCCUGUCUCAAAUGCCCUCCCCAAUUCCUCUGUUUGGUAUUACUCUUCCUUCAAGGUGCAGACAAAAGUCACCUCCAUGAGGACUUGUCUGAUUCCCUCAGCAAGAGAAGCCUGUUGAGCUCUUUUCUGUGCUGCCACAGAAUGUGCCCAUCUAACAAAGCUUAUCCCACUAUGCUCACCGAGGGGGGGCUGUCAGUCUGUCUGUCUGUCUCCCCUGACUGGCAGCGAGCAACCUGGGGAAGGAUCCCAUUUUCUUGGAAUCCAUAGCACCUAAUCUAAAGUAGGUGCCCAACACACAAUACUGUUACCCAUUUACUAAGCCCCUACUAUGUGUCAGGCCCUGAGCUGGAUGCUUUAUAUAAAUUGUCUAGUUUUAUCCUCAAAAUCACCCUGCUGGGAGAGAUGAGACUGAGAUUCAGAGAGGCUGAGCAGCUGCUUCAGGUCACACUAAUCGUGCACAGCAGUGUCAGAGACCGAUUCGCCAGCUGCCAUACUUGGUUCUCCAUUGGCCUAGGGCUUCACCCCCCUGCCAACCCCAGAUGUGGUCUCCAGGGAAGCACCAAACCCCACAGCU